UACGUAGGUGGCAAGCGUUGUCCGGAAUUACUGGGCGUAAAGGGCGUGUAGGCGGCCAAUUAAGUCAGACGUGAAAACUCAGGGCUUAACCUUGGGACUGCGUUUGAAACUGGAUGGCUAGAGGAUCGGAGAGGGCAGUGGAAUUCCCAGUGUAGCGGUGAAAUGCGUAGAUAUUGGGAGGAACACCAGUGGCGAAGGCGACUGCCUGGACGACACCUGACGCUGAGGCGCGAAAGCUAGGGGAGCAAACGGG
Molecule: ribosomal RNA, 253 nt
Filed under: uncultured bacterium
Lineage: Bacteria
Description: partial 16S ribosomal RNA
Rfam family: Bacterial small subunit ribosomal RNA
Source: RNAcentral